Molecule: ribosomal RNA, 1338 nt
Filed under: Myroides profundi
Lineage: Bacteria; Pseudomonadati; Bacteroidota; Flavobacteriia; Flavobacteriales; Flavobacteriaceae
Description: bacterial SSU rRNA
Rfam family: Bacterial small subunit ribosomal RNA
Source: RNAcentral
AGACCGGCGCACGGGUGAGUAACGCGUAUGCAACCUACCUUAUACAGGGGAAUAGCCCGAAGAAAUUCGGAUUAAUGCUCCAUGGUUUAUCGAUAUGGCAUCGUAUUGAUAAUAAAGAUUUAUCGGUAUAAGAUGGGCAUGCGUAUCAUUAGCUAGUUGGUGUGGUAACGGCAUACCAAGGCAACGAUGAUUAGGGGUCCUGAGAGGGAGAUCCCCCACACUGGUACUGAGACACGGACCAGACUCCUACGGGAGGCAGCAGUGAGGAAUAUUGGUCAAUGGAGGCAACUCUGAACCAGCCAUGCCGCGUGCAGGAUGACGGUCCUAUGGAUUGUAAACUGCUUUUGUACAGGAAGAAACCUCCCUACGAGUAGGGACUUGACGGUACUGUAAGAAUAAGGAUCGGCUAACUCCGUGCCAGCAGCCGCGGUAAUACGGAGGAUCCGAGCGUUAUCCGGAAUUAUUGGGUUUAAAGGGUUCGUAGGCGGCUUUAUAAGUCAGUGGUGAAAUUUCCUAGCUUAACUAGGACACUGCCAUUGAUACUGCAUAGCUUGAAUAGUAUGGAAGUAACUAGAAUAUGUAGUGUAGCGGUGAAAUGCUUAGAUAUUACAUGGAAUACCAAUUGCGAAGGCAGGUUACUACGUAUUUAUUGACGCUGAUGAACGAAAGCGUGGGGAGCGAACAGGAUUAGAUACCCUGGUAGUCCACGCCGUAAACGAUGGAUACUAGCUGUUCGGUUUUCGGACUGAGUGGCUAAGCGAAAGUGAUAAGUAUCCCACCUGGGGAGUACGUUCGCAAGAAUGAAACUCAAAGGAAUUGACGGGGGCCCGCACAAGCGGUGGAGCAUGUGGUUUAAUUCGAUGAUACGCGAGGAACCUUACCAGGGCUUAAAUGUAGAUUGACAGAUUUGGAAACAGAUUUUUCUUCGGACAAUUUACAAGGUGCUGCAUGGUUGUCGUCAGCUCGUGCCGUGAGGUGUCAGGUUAAGUCCUAUAACGAGCGCAACCCCUAUUGUUAGUUACCAGCGCGUACUGGCGGGGACUCUAGCAAGACUGCCGGUGCAAACCGUGAGGAAGGUGGGGAUGACGUCAAAUCAUCACGGCCCUUACGUCCUGGGCUACACACGUGCUACAAUGGCAAGUACAGAAAGCAGCUACCUGGCAACAGGAUGCGAAUCUCCAAAGCUUGUCUCAGUUCGGAUUGGAGUCUGCAACUCGACUCUAUGAAGCUGGAAUCGCUAGUAAUCGGAUAUCAGCCAUGAUCCGGUGAAUACGUUCCCGGGCCUUGUACACACCGCCCGUCAAGCCAUGGAAGCUGGGGGUACCUGAAGUCGGUGAC